Molecule: transfer RNA, 74 nt
Filed under: Streptococcus pneumoniae
Lineage: Bacteria; Bacillati; Bacillota; Bacilli; Lactobacillales; Streptococcaceae
Description: tRNA-Asn(gtt)
Rfam family: tRNA
About the family: Transfer RNA (tRNA) molecules are approximately 80 nucleotides in length. Their secondary structure includes four short double-helical elements and three loops (D, anti-codon, and T loops).
Source: RNAcentral
UGUGCCAUAGCUCAGUUGGUAGUAGCGCAUGACUGUUAAUCAUGAUGUCGUAGGUUCGAGUCCUACUGGCGGAG